GACGAACGCUGGCGGCGUGCUUAACACAUGCAAGUCGAACGGAAAGGCCCUGCUUUUGUGGGGUGCUCGAGUGGCGAACGGGUGAGUAACACGUGAGUAACCUGCCCUUGACUUUGGGAUAACUUCAGGAAACUGGGGCUAAUACCGGAUAGGAGCUACUGCUGCAUGGUGGGGGUUGGUAAGUUUCGGCGGUUGGGGAUGGACUCGCGGCUUAUCCGCUUGUUGGUGGGGUAGUGGCUUACCAAGGCUUUGACGGGUAGCCGGCCUGAGAGGGUGACCGGCCACAUUGGGACUGAGAUACGGCCCAGACUCCUACGGGAGGCAGCAGUGGGGAAUAUUGCACAAUGGGCGGAAGCCUGAUGCAGCAACGCCGCGUGCGGGAUGACGGCCUUCGGGUUGUAAACCGCUUUCGCCUGUGACGAAGCGUGAGUGACGGUAAUGGGUAAAGAAGCACCGGCUAACUACGUG
This 468-nucleotide ribosomal RNA is filed under the name uncultured bacterium. Its description in RNAcentral is "partial 16S ribosomal RNA". It matches the Rfam family "Bacterial small subunit ribosomal RNA", at positions 28 to 507 of the family's 1533-position model. The record is from RNAcentral.